CCUACGGGAGGCAGCAGGGGGGAAUAUUGGACAAUGGGCGCAAGCCUGAUCCAGCCAUGCCGCGUGUGUGAUGAAGGCCCUAGGGUUGUAAAGCACUUUCAACGGUGAAGAUAAUGACGGUAACCGUAGAAGAAGCCCCGGCUAACUCCGUGCCAGCAGCCGCGGUAAUACGAAGGGAGCUAGCGUUGUUCGGAAUUACUGGGCGUAAAGCGCGCGUAGGCGGACUAUUAAGUCAGGGGUGAAAUCCCGGGGCUCAACCCCGGAACUGCCUUUGAUACUGGUAGUCUAGAGUUCGAGAGAGGUGAGUGGAAUUCCGAGUGUAGAGGUGAAAUUCGUAGAUAUUCGGAGGAACACCAGUGGCGAAGCGCUCACUGGCUCGRUACUGACGCUGAGGUGCGAAAGCGUGGGG
Molecule: ribosomal RNA, 409 nt
Filed under: uncultured bacterium
Lineage: Bacteria
Description: bacterial SSU rRNA
Rfam family: Bacterial small subunit ribosomal RNA
Source: RNAcentral